Non-coding RNA from Cucurbita pepo subsp. pepo (vegetable marrow), 4212 nucleotides. The record is from RefSeq and is a predicted model, not a curated record. NCBI's taxonomy places the organism in Eukaryota, Viridiplantae, Streptophyta, Magnoliopsida, Cucurbitales, Cucurbitaceae.
CUCUUCCCUUACUUUCUUCAACCUUUUCCACGAUCUCAUUUCGUAUGCAUUAUUUUCUCAUCUUUUCCCCACACACGACACGUAAUCGACGAAUGACGAUUUUCCUCGCAUCUUGGCAACAAAGGCGAUUAGAUUCCUCCAUGGCGAUUAGAUUCUUUUCAAGUUUUGAUUUCUGCAUGUUGUGUUGUCUGCAAUUUAACUUACAUGAUGAGAAAAAUCUCCUUUCGUGGUUUCGUGGCUAAGCAAUCAAUGUUAGUUAUCAUUCAAAAUUUGAAAGAUUGUGGCGAGGUUUUAUUCUAUCUUUUCGAUUUUGAAUUUGUUCUAUUUGUUUUGGUCACUUUCUUUAUCUUUAUCCCUUACCAAGAAGUAGAGCGUGGCGUGAGAAAUGUUGUCUCUAAUUUGUGUUGAGAGUUCCAAUUGGAAGUAUUGUGUUAUGAAAUCUGAAAUGGUAUUGUGUUAUGAAAUCGGAAAUCGUUGAUUUAGUUUGUUGUGUUUGUUUUUAAAGAUUUGUGUUUAUUAGGGGCUAUUUAAAGUCAAUUGCUGAUUUAGUCUUGUUUUAUUUCAUUGUCAAGAUUUUUGAUCAUUGGAAAAGCUUACUUCUACUUUUAAUAUCUAGAAAGUAUAUGGUGGUUUAAAACAAUUUAUUUUAUGUGAGUGCUUGCUUGUUUGGUUUUGAGGAACCAUAGGAAGUAGAAGCUACUGUCCAUACAAAUGAUUUCCUUGCCCGUUAUUAGAAUGAUGUUUUUCUUACUUGUAAAUUUGGUUGCUUUGGUUUGUUUUUUUUUUUAAUAGGAAAAUUCACCUUUCGUCGUUAAAUUAGUUGCAUAUUUCUAGUUCUAUUGAAGUGUCUCUUUUCAAACAUUAGUCGUUUGGGUGUACAUAUUUCGAUUGCUCGCUUGUUGAACUUCUUUAUUCAGAUGGAAAUGGGAAAGAAUGUAGAGAUUCAAGGAACGGGGCAUGGGCAUGGGAGUCAUGAUGGGGUUUUUUCAAUUUGCUGAUAGCUCUUUAAGAAACUGCGUUAGAGAUUGUGAGCAUGCAUAUUGGUUUUUUUUCUAAUUGAUUAAGAUGAAUUAAUCAUAAUAAACUAAUAUGCAUACUCACAAUCCCUCGAUAAGACACAGUUUUUUGAAGGGAUAUUUUAUUUAAAAGUGAACAAUGAUGGAGGCAUUAGCCUAAUGACAAUUUAGGCAAGAUGCAUAUGCGACCAACAAACGAUAGUAUUGUCGAAAUCUAUGUCAGCGGCAGUGGCGAUGAGAGUUCUUUAAGAGAUGACAUGAUAGUUCGAGCGAAGAAAUUUGACACUCUACAAGUUAGUGAUUAUGUCCAGUCUUAUUUAGUUUAUUAAUUAUUAAUUGUUGAGGUUAAAAUGCUUGCUUGGUGAUACUGUAGUAGAACUCUGAUAAACAUAGAUGUUAGUUUUGUUAGUGUGUUUUGAAUAAGUGAGGUAAAGUUUGAUGAUGAUGUUGUAGUACUUGUGGAUAAGGAAGGCUAACCCAUUGGAAUGUGAGUCUUUGACUUAAUUCCUCACGAACUCAUGACGAAAAAACAUGUAAAGAUUGUCCUAUCCAUCCUUUUUAGCCCCACCCCUCGUGUAUUGAAUACUUUAUUUUGUAAUGUAAAUAGAUUAUAAAAUUUUAAUUAUGAAUGGAAGUCAUAUUAUUUAAUGUGUUUUGAAGUAUUCCAUAUGUUCAUUUAGUUAAAUUGAAUUAAAUUUAUUUUAUAACAUACUAUAGCUUUAAUAAAAAUGCUAUAAAAUGUUUUCAUAGCAACAUAUAUGAAUAUUAUAUCCAUCCAUUAUAGCUAUACAAAAAAGUUAUAAAAAAAGUCUAUAAGACAUUUAAUAGUGUUGGUUAUUAGGAUGUACGACAAAAGCUAUCAAAGGUCUAUGAUAGUUGUUCACCUGCUAUUGUAUCCAAUAUUUGUUGUAGUGAUUUUUUAGACUCAAGAAAGUUGGCACUACCUAUGAACAUUAUGAUAGCAUUUAUUUAGACCCGAGAGCCAUUAGCUGACCUGCCUCAGACGUGCUGAUCAUGGGAGAUACGUUGAACUCACAUCAUGGGAGAUACGUUGAACUCACAUCAUGGGAGAUAUGUUCACAAAUCAAACUUGACACGUGGCAUGCUGAGAUCCUGCCUAUCCACCCUCAAAGCAUUGAUUACUCAUGCAUGGCCUGCGCGCGUAGGGAAUCUUCUUUUGCGUGACCUACCAGAGGAAUUUUAGAAAUUUUGGAGCUCCUGACUCACGAAAAAGCUAGCUUGGGAGGGCACGCUUCAUCCAAGUAAGUUACCACACGGAUUUUAGGCAAGUAAUUAGCAAUCGCUAGAAUGUGCUAUCAUGCUAACAUUCCUUACCUUAGGUGGUUAGAAAAUGCAUAUUAAGGACUUUGAAAGGGCGUUUUGGAUGAGUAUGUAUUGUACGUAUGUCAUGGUAAAAUUACAAUUAUACCCUUAGGUUGAGAUUUCCAAGAAGCAUGCUAUUUUAUGUAUUAUACAAGGCUAAAAAGAAAAUAUGCAUGAUUAAAAUACGAGUUGGGCAGUAUGGAUGAGUGUGGUAUGCAUGAUGUAAGAAAUUACAAAAAUACCUCUAUGAUGAGAUUUGUGAUGAACGUCGUUUUAUAUGCUUUCCAUUGUGUUAGAAAAAAGGAUGAGCUAUUGUGACCUGUGCUCCGGGUGAUUGAUGGAUGUUAUCUUCCUGUAGAGCUUGUUUGCUUCUAUGUUUGCAUGAUAUAGUACGUGUUAGCUCCUGGUGUGAUUGUAUGUUCUCCCUGUAAAGCAUGUUUAUUUGCAUAGAACUAGGGCAUUAGAGUUAGGUGGACUAGACGAUAACUUAGGUCAGAACACUAAAAGUAGACUGAGCACUUUAGAAUCAUACACAACGGUCAGAGGGUCUAGACCCUAGUGCUCCUAGACUAAGAAUGACUUGAGGAGUAAAAAAAGAGCAGCUUGGAGUCAUAAAAUCAUGUUAAGCCACCUAGCCGGUUUAGGAAUCCAAUAGACCUCCUCGAUUCCCCAUAUAUGACUAAGGUGAAGUUUAAAUUGUGGAUUACACGCUUAGAUGAUCGAUAGGAAUAUCUCCCUAGUAAAGCAUGCACGAGAGAGCUCAAUUAAGAUUAGUGCACUACAACUAGUGUCUUUUACAUGUUUGACCCAGGUCAGUAUGUUUCUUGUUGACCUUGCACGCCAUGAUCGUGAAUGAUUAGAGGUUUAAACCUAUAUGCACCCAGAGAUUGGUUUGGCCAUAGGAGCUAAGCCUAAAGUCUUGGAAACGAGAGAUGAGAUUUAAACCGCCUAGACGCCUCUAGAGACCUAGAAGGCCACCACAACAACCUUGGAGAAAAAUAAAGGUAGCCCAUGAGCCGAUAGCAGCCAGUACAGUGUUUGCAGAUUCCACUCCAGUAUGGUACGUUUAGCUUGGCGUGAGGCCGGUUAGGAACGUGUGACCUAAGAGAGAGUUUGGGUGGAUUACCCUGUGCGGUGGAUUUGCAUCAUCCGCACGAGGAUGUGCAAUGAGCAGGUGUCCAUGGUCACGGUUCGGUAGAGCUACCAUCGAGUCAAUGUAACAACUUGAGCAAGAGAAUGUCCUACCUUUGGGAAUUGGGCAUAAGCAACUUUUGAGGACGAAAGUCUUUAAGGAGGGGAGAAUUUGUAACACUUGAGUCUCGACGAGGAAUUAGAAACCCAAUCUUUUCUUUUAAAGUCGAGCUUUUAAGAUUUUAUUGAGUCUUAGAGGCCAAAUUUCAAGAUGAGAUAGAAGAGAAAAAUGCUUUGAAAAAUUCCAUAAACGGAAAAAAUAUAUAGAAGAAAAUAGUGAAAGUUAAAAAAUCGGUCGAAGUCAACCCACAUUUGGUCAUUUUGACCCUCCUUUCCGGGGUCUGCAUUAGCCUUAAUAAGACUAUAAGAACAAAGAAAAAGAAAGAAACAAAGAACAGGAAAAGCCGCAACUUUUUACAAAGAUGGAGCUAAAAUUCGACAUGGGUUAUGCUCAUUCUUCAUGCUCUCUCGUUACAACUUUCUCCACCAAACAUUUCUGCUUUUCCCAAUCUUCAAUUUGCGUAUCAAAGUUACGCCCAACAAGUCAGAAUCAAAUCAGAUCUAUCAAAUUCACUUCUCACCCUUUUCAUUGUUGUUGUUCCUCUUCACAACAUUUGCCUUUAAGGUGUAAUCAAGUAGGUAAAUUCGAAACCCAAGUGAAGUCUUUGAAAACCAUGGUGGA